AGAGGUUGUGCUUGUCCACCAUCACAUUUUGUUGCUGUAUGACAGAUGGCAUCAGAGGGUUAGUCUGACAAAAUAGCAUCUGACAGGGAAAAGAGUCUGAAGCAAAAGUAUGGAACUGAAUUCCUCCAUGUGGAAAAAACUGCACUCACUGACAUUCAUUGAUGCUUGCUAAAUGUCUGUGGAGAUCAAAGAGUGGAUGUGAGCACAGUGAGGUGGUGGUGGUGCAUUUCAGAAGUGGUGACAGCAGUGGUGGGUCACCUCCGCUGGUGCAGAUUUUUUUACAAGCAUGACAUGCAAAGUCUUGUUCAUUGCUGGUGAAAAUACAUAAUGGUGGUGAAUAUGUUGAAAAAUAGUGUUUUGUAGCAGAGAAUUUUCUCUAUCAAAUAGCAUUAUUGUGGUCUUUGUAUCUACUGUAUUUCCCAUGGAGAUAAAUAGGAGGCAUUACUUUUGGAGUCACCUAUGUGUAUGGUAGGCAUAUUAUAGAAUCAUUUGAGUUGGAAGGGACCCUUAAAAGUUAUCUGGUCCAACUCUCCUGCAGUGAACAGGGACCCCUACAGCUCAGUCAUGUUGCUCAGGGCCCCCUCCAUCCUGACCUUGAAUGUCUCCAAGGAUGGGGCAUCCACCACCUCUCUGGGCAACCUAUGUCAGUGCCUCACCAACCCUGCUGUAAAAAAUCUUCUUCCUUAUAUCCAAUUUAAAUCUUCUGUCUUUAAGUUUGAAACCAUUUCCCCUUCUCCUGUCACCACAGACCCUGCUAAAGAGCCCUGUUUUAGAUAUUCAUAGGCCUCUCUCAGGUCUCCCCGGAGUCUUCUCUUCUCCAGGUUGCACAGCCCUAGCACUCACAUCCUGUACUCGCAGGGAGGUGUCCCAUCCUUGGGAUAAUUUCUGUGGCCCUCUGGAUGUGCUCCAAUAGAUCUAUGUCUCUCCUGUACUCAGGACUCCACAUUUGCAUGCAGUAUUCCAGGUGAGGCCUCACCAGAGCAGAGGGGCAGGAUCACCUUCUUCAGACUGCUGGCCACACUGCAAAAUGAAGUAUGAACUUGGAGAAGAAAUAGUGAGC
Molecule: long non-coding RNA, 1060 nt
Organism: Gallus gallus (chicken)
Lineage: Eukaryota; Metazoa; Chordata; Aves; Galliformes; Phasianidae
Source: Ensembl